UUUACUGGUUCUAAUUUCUUCGUCUUUCCUUUCAUUCUUCGUCUCCUUCGUUUCUUUUCUCCUUCCUCCUUCUCUCUUCUUUUGCGCCGCCGUCUUUUUUCUGGAGACGAAGUCCGCCGCCGCCCGCUGGAACAAUUGGUCCCAUUCCCAUAUUCUUCCUCGAAUCACUCUGGUUUUCCGAAGGAUCGGCCCAAUUAUCGUGUUUUCCAGUGGAUGGCUCUUGCAGUGUGCAACAAAAGAAACUAGUUUGGUAGGAAGUGAAAGUGGCAUCAGAUGUAAAAUCAAUGUGGCCUUACUGUGUGCAGAAUGAGUUAAGAGUUUUAUGAAUUGGCGGCAGAAGGGGAGGAGAUGGCUUUAACAGCAGAGAUCUCAGUGCUGUCAUAAAACUAAGCAAUUGAGGGAAAGGAUUUUCUCCACUGGUACUUUCAGAGAAGACUUGCAAGAUUUGGCCCUCAGCCCUCCCAAAAUUUGCUUGAUUACUUACUAUUUGACUUGGCAAGGGAAAAUGUCUCUCAAAAUUUAGAGCCACUGGACUCUGGCAUAAAAUGGGUAUGAUGUCACAUUCAUUGGCUACAAUGACUCACAAAGGAAAACUACCACAACGCAACAGGUAAGUUUUUUUAUCACCCUGUCUUUAUCAAGGCACUCUAUGAUAAUUAUGCUUUCAAAAUUGCUAGUGUAUUCUCCUACUAACGGAUUUGUUUAUGUUAUUUGGUUUAGUCGAUGAUUGGAUGUGGGUUUAGGUUUGGGCAUCUUGUGGUUUUUGUGGUUUGGAAGUAACAGCAAUAAUUAAAUCAAUCAAUAUGGCUGGUUACACCUCGCUUCAUUUGACCCUCACUAUUUUGUACAGGGAUUGAAACUUCGGCUGCUCAUUUCAUCCAAACACUACCCAAUGCGAAGAUAUAGCCUCAAAUAAAUGUUGGUGUUCUUACGACGUCGUGUGACACACAUACAUUCACCUGCAUCUUCACAUGGGAUGGAAUUCGUGUGCCCUAAUUUCGAGACACGAUUGCAACUCAUCAGAUGUAUUAGAAGCCAUGUUCAUGAGCUUCAACAUAAUAAAUUCAACAAGAUCUUUCUUAAUUUUCUUACAGCUGUGACUCUGAACUGAUUGUUGCAUUAUUACCAGGUGAAACCAAAUCAGUACUAUGCAUACAUUCCCACCUGUCCCUCAGUUUCUCUGCAGGUUCUGAAAGUGGGGCCCAAUCGAACCAGACCUGCCUGGUACAUGCAUGCACCAUAUUCAUAAGCUCCAAGAAAAUUUGAGUCGAGAGGAAAAUUGUGAGGAACAGAUCGAUGUGGGCUCAAAGACAGGACAGCCCUA
Long non-coding RNA from Andrographis paniculata, 1324 nucleotides. RefSeq lists it as uncharacterized. The transcript has 6 exons. NCBI's taxonomy places the organism in Eukaryota, Viridiplantae, Streptophyta, Magnoliopsida, Lamiales, Acanthaceae. The record is from RefSeq and is a predicted model, not a curated record.